Molecule: long non-coding RNA, 3020 nt
Filed under: Homo sapiens (human)
Lineage: Eukaryota; Metazoa; Chordata; Mammalia; Primates; Hominidae
Description: PRKCH antisense RNA 2, transcript variant 4 (PRKCH-AS2)
Source: RNAcentral
ACACUAGGGGUUUCUUGGGGAUACGCAGAUGACAAAGACAGUGUCUCUUCAUCCAGGAGCUAAUCAAGAGAAGGGGGAAGAAUCAAGCAAACUUCAUAAUACACAGCCGGAUGAAAUGAAAAGAGACUUAGAUCAAGUGCUGUGAGAGCUUGGAAGAGGCACGGGGCAAAUAACACUGGGGCUGGUGGUGGGAAGGCAAGUGACAGCCUCGUGGAAGAGGUGGCAUUUGACCAGAGAUGAGGACGAACAGAAUUAACAUAGUAGGCAUGAAGGAAGAAAAUGCGCCUGAGGACACAGCCAGCACAAAUGCAGAGGCAUACAAGUGCCUGGUACAGCUGGCAUGCAGGGAUGGCUGAGGAACUGCGGGGGCAGCCGGUGGGAUCCAUCCGAGGCAGGGGCACAGAUAGAAAGCUGCUGAGAGACUACACUCUGAGGUCAGCCUUGACCCUGAGGCUCAUCUGGCUCUCCCUGUUCCUCUACAGCCAGGCAAACAGGAUUCCUGCAGACAAUGCUCGGAUGAUGAAAUCUGAGAGGCUGGAUGACAGAGAAACCCACAUGCAUACACACACACUUUAUAAAGCUUAGGAACAAAAGCACUUUAUAAUCUCCUUCUGAUGCCAAGUUUACAGUGCUUCCAGAGUCAACAAAGGUGACUCAGGAGAGUGCACCCAGCUCCUUUCAGCACUUAUUUAGCUCAGCCACCUGUGUGAGCUCAAAGACAAGGGUGCCGACUUCACCUGAGUAGACCCUGAGUCACGUGAUUUCUUGCUGGAGAUGAUUCAGCAAAGGAGCACUAACCUCUGAGACAAGGCUUCAGCUUCCUGAGCUCUGCUGACUCGCCUGGGACUUCCCUAAGCCCUUCUGGACCUAGAUGAGGGCAAAACUCAGUGGAACCUCAGAAGCCCUAAAAAAAUGAUAGACUUUCUUUUGUCUCAUCAUUAUCAGCAUUUUGGGAUGAUUUAGUCAGCCUAAGAAACCUGAUGGCAUGUUGACACCAGAAAACAGGUAGUAUAUAUUCCCAAACCAAGUUAAAAAAAAUUAAGAAAUAACAGCUGGAAUGCCUUUUAUUUUUUCUUUACACAAAUGUGUGUGUCAUCGUCAUAUGCCUUUUUUGUGUUAAUUUCUGAGGAUCCUGCCAGUGUGAAUACUCCAUUCUCUGCGAGUCGCAGGUCAGGCUGCUUUUGAGGCAAGCACACGUUAAGUAUUGAGCAGAAACAUUUGAAGCAAAGAUGAGAAAGACAGAAGGGGAAGCAAGAAAAAUAGUCUUCCCAGUGUGCCUAUUUGGGUGCAUAUAAAGUUACUUUUAGAUGUGCGAUUACUGGUUAAUGAUUUGGGGAAUUCUUUUCAAGUAGAAAUCCUGGGCUAAAAACUAAGUGUGCUCAAGCUACCCCCGCACCCACUGAUUCUGCACUCCAUGGGAAAAGUUCUCACAAGCAAGUCCUUUGUCCACUACCCACGUCUAUAGGAAAUGUUUGAACAGCUAUACACAAAGAACUCACAAGUCCACAACCUCGGGGGUGUUGCGGGUGGAGAGGGCAGUGGUAAAGGUGAUGACAGGGAGGGCCUGUGGGGACAGUAAUAUUAGAUUAGUGGUCAGAAGAUGCUGGAGCCUGCCUUGCCAGUCACACACUUUUAGAGGAAUGCUGGACAGUACACACCCUCCCCAACCCUGAAUGUAGGCCCUCGCUGACAUCACGCCAGAUGAAGCCCUGAGGUCUUUAACAUCUGUAACUCUAUGGCAUGUAACAUAAACAGGUGUCUGACCAGUUUCCCCAGAUAUAGAAUAAUAAUAAUACCUUUCAUUUAAAAAGGUAAGAGGGAAUUCAACAAGCUUUCCUUCUUAAAUAAAUCUCCAUCUCAGGAAGCCAUGGAAAGAUGCCCCUCCCACACUAAGACUGUAGAGAGAGGCACUGUGAAGGUCUGGCUUGGAGAUCUCAGCUCUUCCUGCCUCUCAGGGGGAAAGGGCAGAUCCAGCAGGCCGGGAAAGGAUCUCCCAGGGUCCCAAGGAGGCAGCAUGGGGCAAAGUCCAACAGUGAGGAUUCUCUCCUUCUCUGGUCUCUUUUCUGUUAAAAAUGCUUCUUUGGGGUACCCUUCAUUACUACCCUGGAGGUUGAAGGACACUUCUUGAGAAGGCAUAGAUACUCUUCAGGUAUGCUGAAGAAAUGAGUUGUGCUAAAACCACUGGUUAAUUUUGUCUGUGGCAAAAAAUCAUGAGGGUGACAUAGACUCCCAGGCCAGGAACCCGAGACUGGAUUUAAGAGAUGUGGCCAGGAUCCACAGGGGAGCUUGUAUGUGGCUCACAUCAUUAGCUCUUUCUGUAUAUUUGUAUUGUAAACCAUUUCCCUUCAUUUGUGAAGAUGGAGAUCACUUUUUCUAUACAGGCUAGAAAUGUUUCUUCAUACACACACGCUGAGCUUGUUUAUAAAAGAUAUUCAUUUAUAUGGUGGUUUUAACAACUUUUCCAUGUGGAAAUUUUAGACGACAGUAACACAGACCCUCAUGUACUCAUCACUCAGCCUUGAUGGUUACUGACACAUGCCCAAUAUUGUUUCAUCUGUUUCUCCCCACAACUCCUGGAUUAAUUUGAAAGAAAUCCUAGAAGUCACUUAAUCAGCAAAUACUCCAGUCUGUUGGUCCACUCCUUAUACAAUAGCCAGGGUGAUCUUUUACACAUGAAGUAGUGAUUGCAUCACUCAUGCUUGCUUGGAAUUCUUCAAAGACUUACGUUGGCACUUCAGAUAAAGUGUAGACUCCUUCGCGUGACCUAGGAUGUCCUUUGGGCUCUCACUGUUCCCUCAGCCUCCUCACCUGAAGCUCUCACUGCCCCACCCCUUUGCUCAUCACACUCCAACCCGCCUGCCAUUGAGCUACUCAAAUGGACUGCUCCUUUCUCAAGACCUCUGCACACUUUCAAGCCUCAUUUCUCUUCAGCCUUUAUUAAAUGUCAUCUCCUCCAGAUGGCCUCCUUUGGUGGCCCAGGUCAUGUUAGAUCUGCCUGUUAAAUAAAUGCUUUCAAAGAA